GACGAACGCUGGCGGCGUGCCUAAUACAUGCAAGUAGAACGCUGAAGCUUGGCGCUUGCACCGAGCGGAUGAGUUGCGAACGGGUGAGUAACGCGUAGGUAACCUGCCUGGUAGCGGGGGAUCACCAUGGGAAACGAUAGCUAAUACCGCAUAAGAGUAGAUGUUGCAUGACAUUUGCGUAAAAGGUGCAAUUGCAUCACUACCAGAUGGACCAGCGUUGUAUUAGCUAGUUGGUGAGGUAACGGCUCACCAAGGCAACGCCACGUAGCCGACCUGAGAGGGUGAUCGGCCACACUGGGACUGAGACACGGCCCAGACUCCUACGGGAGGCAGCAGUAGGGAAUCUUCGGCAAUGGGCGGAAGUCUGACCGAGCAACGCCGCGUGAGUGAAGAAGGUUUUCGGAUCGUAAAGCUCUGUUGAAGAGAAGAACGAGUGUGAGAGUGGAAAGUUCACGCUGUGACGGUAACUUACCAGAAAAGGACGGCUAACUUCGUG
RNAcentral lists this ribosomal RNA (496 nucleotides) under uncultured bacterium. RNAcentral describes it as "partial 16S ribosomal RNA". It matches the Rfam family "Bacterial small subunit ribosomal RNA", at positions 28 to 507 of the family's 1533-position model. The record is from RNAcentral.